GUGGAUGAGGCACAGGCUGCUUUACAACAGCAGCAGGUUUUAUGUUCGUUUAUAUAUGGCCCUCAGGCUGUGUAGGCCUCUCUCAAGCGUGUGAAACGCUAAGACCCUGAGGCACACCAAUCCCUUCAAGGGCAAAAACGCUUCCCGCGCAGCCUGGUAGAGCCUCCUGUGAGGUGAGAAUUUGGCGCGCAACUCGCGCCGCUCUGCCUGUGGGGCUCCCCGCCCGCUCAGCGACCGCCGUUCUACGGCCGUAGGGCCUCCGGCGGUAGCCAACCACGGUCACUCUGCCCGCAGGGUAGGUCCACCCCGCGGCUGUGCCCGCAGCCAAGAUGGCGCCCGUAGCUUCCCCACCCCCCCGGCGGCGGCCGGGGCGUGUGCCGGAAUGCGGGCGGGGCGGGCGAUGUGGCGAGGCUCGGCCCACGCAGUCGUCCGGCGCUGCCCGACCGCCUCCCGCCGUGGCACAGGUGGGCUGUGGGGAGAGGCCGUGGAGGCGCGGAGAGGGCUGGGUGAGGCUGGGGGCGCGGUAGGCGGCGACCCGGAGCAGCGGUGCUCUCUUGGGGGGCGGUGCGGCGCGGCGCGGCGCGGGGCUAUUCCCGCGGGGAAUGGGAAAGGCCGUUGCCGGUGUCUCUGCCUGAGCAGCCGCUGCCUCGGCUGUGGUCUUCGGGGUGGGGGCAGCAGGGCGGCGGCUGUCACUGCCCGCCCGGGCCCAGCAGCGGGAGAUUAAACCCGGAGUGCCACUGGCGAG
This 745-nucleotide long non-coding RNA is filed under the name Gallus gallus (chicken). RNAcentral describes it as "long non-coding RNA NONGGAT008491". Lineage: Eukaryota; Metazoa; Chordata; Aves; Galliformes; Phasianidae. The record is from RNAcentral.